GCCUAACACAUGCAAGUCGAACGGUAGCACAGAGAGCUUGCUCUCGGGUGACGAGUGGCGGACGGGUGAGUAAUGUCUGGGAAACUGCCUGAUGGAGGGGGAUAACUACUGGAAACGGUAGACUAAUACCGCAUAACGUCUUCGGACCAGAGUGGGGGACCUUCGGGCCUCACACCAUCGGAUGUGCCCAGAUGGGAUUAGCUAGUAGGUGGGGUAAUGGCUCACCUAGGCGACGAUCCCUAGCUGGUCUUAGAGGAUGACCAGCCACACUGGAACUGAGACACGGUCCAGACUCCUACGGGAGGCAGCAGUGGGGAAUAUUGCACAAUGGGCGCAAGCCUGAUGCAGCCAUGCCGCGUGUAUGAAGAAGGCCUUCGGGUUGUAAAGUACUUUCAGCGGGGAGGAAGGCGAUAAGGUUAAUAACCUUGUCAAUUGACGUUACCCCGCA
Molecule: ribosomal RNA, 448 nt
Filed under: uncultured bacterium
Lineage: Bacteria
Description: bacterial SSU rRNA
Rfam family: Bacterial small subunit ribosomal RNA
Source: RNAcentral